RNAcentral lists this unclassified non-coding RNA (276 nucleotides) under uncultured Aspergillaceae. RNAcentral describes it as "sequence contains ITS1". The stretch from base 1 to 105 matches the Rfam family "5.8S ribosomal RNA", at positions 50 to 154 of the family's 154-position model. Lineage: Eukaryota; Fungi; Ascomycota; Eurotiomycetes; Eurotiales; Aspergillaceae. The record is from RNAcentral.
GAAAUGCGAUAAAUAAUGUGAAUUGCAGAAUUCAGUGAAUCAUCGAGUCUUUGAACGCACAUUGCGCCCCCUGGCAUUCCGGGGGGCACGCCUGUUCGAGCGUCAUUCCACCCCAUCAAGCCCGGCUUGGUCUUGGGCGCCGCCUCUGGGCGCGCCCCAAAAACGUCGGCGGAGCCGGGGCACCGAGCGUGACGCACUCACGGACUCGGGGCGCCGGCCCGGCCUCACCACCCUAGAGUUGACCUCGGAUCAGGCGGGGAUACCCGCUGAACUUAA